Long non-coding RNA from Haliotis rubra (blacklip abalone), 102 nucleotides. RefSeq lists it as uncharacterized. The record is from RefSeq and is a predicted model, not a curated record. NCBI's taxonomy places the organism in Eukaryota, Metazoa, Mollusca, Gastropoda, Lepetellida, Haliotidae. The transcript is spliced from 3 exons.
CUGCCCCAGCAGUUAGAGCGGACAUCACAGCGAAGAGCAGCACGGCAAACAUCUUUUUCUGACUUGCGUAACUGUGCUUCAUUGGAAGACCACACGUCUGAA